UGAAGGAGAAGAUUGACAUCUGCACGC
RNAcentral lists this non-coding RNA (27 nucleotides) under Homo sapiens (human). The record is from RNAcentral. Lineage: Eukaryota; Metazoa; Chordata; Mammalia; Primates; Hominidae.